This 463-nucleotide ribosomal RNA is filed under the name uncultured bacterium. Its description in RNAcentral is "bacterial SSU rRNA". It matches the Rfam family "Bacterial small subunit ribosomal RNA", at positions 29 to 506 of the family's 1533-position model. The record is from RNAcentral.
AUGAACGCUGGCGGCGUGCUUAACACAUGCAAGUCGAACGAUGAACCUCACUUGUGGGGGGAUUAGUGGCGAACGGGUGAGUAACACGUGAGUAACCUGCCCUUGACUCUGGGAUAAGCCUGGGAAACUGGGUCUAAUACCGGAUAUGACUCCUCAUCGCAUGGUGGGGGGUGGAAAGCUUUUUGUGGUUUUGGAUGGACUCGCGGCCUAUCAGCUUGUUGGUGAGGUAAUGGCUCACCAAGGCGACGACGGGUAGCCGGCCUGAGAGGGUGACCGGCCACACUGGGACUGAGACACGGCCCAGACUCCUACGGGAGGCAGCAGUGGGGAAUAUUGCACAAUGGGCGAAAGCCUGAUGCAGCGACGCCGCGUGAGGGAUGACGGCCUUCGGGUUGUAAACCUCUUUCAGUAGGGAAGAAGCGAAAGUGACGGUACCUGCAGAAGAAGCGCCGGCUAACUACGU